RNAcentral lists this ribosomal RNA (157 nucleotides) under Wilsoniana portulacae. RNAcentral describes it as "5.8S ribosomal RNA". It matches the Rfam family "5.8S ribosomal RNA". From Rfam's summary of the family: 5.8S ribosomal RNA (5.8S rRNA) is a component of the large subunit of the eukaryotic ribosome. It is transcribed by RNA polymerase I as part of the 45S precursor that also contains 18S and 28S rRNA. Lineage: Eukaryota; Oomycota; Peronosporomycetes; Albuginales; Albuginaceae. The record is from RNAcentral.
ACACUUUCAGCAGUGGAUGUCUAGGCUCAACCAUCGAUGAAGAACGCUGCGAACUGCGAUACGUAAUGCGAAUUGCAUGAUUAAGUGAGUCAUCGAAAUUUUGAACGCAUAUUGCACUUCAUAACACAUACGAAGUAUGCCUGUAUCAGUGUCCGUA